CUUCAAGUGAUGAAAUCUUAAUCCAGUUCUGCUACUGAAGCAUCUGCGAUGAGCCUUUAUCCUUCUGAUGAAG
Megalops cyprinoides (Indo-Pacific tarpon) is the source of this 73-nucleotide small nucleolar RNA. Lineage: Eukaryota; Metazoa; Chordata; Actinopteri; Elopiformes; Megalopidae. The record is from RefSeq and is a predicted model, not a curated record.